UAUUCUGCCCUACGGGGAAGGAUGAGAAGCUUCGACUAAGGUUCGACUCGAGCGUAGCGAGAGAACGUUGCCGCAGGCAACGGCCCGAAGGGCGAGGCGCGUUAGCGCCGAGUCAUCCUUCCCCCACCAUUC
This 132-nucleotide small RNA is filed under the name Klebsiella quasipneumoniae. Its description in RNAcentral is "RtT sRNA". It matches the Rfam family "RtT RNA". From Rfam's summary of the family: This family represents a bacterial cis-regulatory element known as RtT RNA. The exact function of RtT is unknown although it is thought that it may be involved in changing the cellular response in relation to amino acid starvation. The record is from RNAcentral. Lineage: Bacteria; Pseudomonadati; Pseudomonadota; Gammaproteobacteria; Enterobacterales; Enterobacteriaceae. RNAcentral also lists the same sequence under 1 other name.